RNAcentral lists this ribosomal RNA (492 nucleotides) under Dircaea sp. UPOL ZL0083. RNAcentral's name for it is "partial 16S ribosomal RNA". The stretch from base 366 to 492 matches the Rfam family "Archaeal large subunit ribosomal RNA", at positions 2542 to 2669 of the family's 2987-position model. The record is from RNAcentral. Lineage: Eukaryota; Metazoa; Arthropoda; Insecta; Coleoptera; Melandryidae.
UUUAGAGUCAGGCCUGCUCAAUGAUUAAUUUAAAUAGCUGCAGUAUUUUGACUGUACAAAGGUAGCAUAAUCAUUAGUUUUUUAAUUGAAAGCUGGAAUGAAUGGUUUUAUAAGAAAAAUACUGUCUUUAUAUUAAAUUUAGAAAUUUAUUUUUAAGUGAGAAAGCUUAAAUAUAAUAAAAAGACGAGAAGACCCUAUAGAAUUUUAUAUAAUAUUUUAAUUAUUAUAAAAGUUUUAUUUUAGUUUUUAUUUAAAUUAUAUUUUAUUGGGGUGAUAGAAAAAUUUAAUAAACUUUUUUUUAUUUAUACAUUAAUUAAUGAUUAUAUGAUCCUAAAUUUUAGAUUAGAAGAAAAAAUUACCUUAGGGAUAACAGCGUUAUUUUUUUUUAAAGUUCAUAUUAAAAAAAAAGAUUGCGACCUCGAUGUUGGAUUAAAAUUUAGUUUAGGUGAAGAAGCUUAAAUAUUAAGUCUGUUCGACUUUUAAAAUUUUACA